Molecule: ribosomal RNA, 216 nt
Filed under: uncultured bacterium
Lineage: Bacteria
Description: partial 16S ribosomal RNA
Rfam family: Bacterial small subunit ribosomal RNA
Source: RNAcentral
UGGAUAUCUGCCUUUUGGUUCGGAAUAACCCCGGGAAACUGGGGCUAAUACCGGAUGGUUCCUUCGGGAUAAGGAUUUAUCGCCAAAAGAUGAGUCCGCGUCCGAUUAGCUAGUUGGUGAGGUAAUGGCUCACCAAGGCGACGAUCGGUAGCUGGUCUGAGAGGACGAUCAGCCACACUGGGACUGAGACACGGCCCAGACUCCUACGGGAGGCAG